UUGGAGGGCAAGUCUGGUGCCCGCAGCCGCGGUAAUUCCAGCUCCAAUAGCGUAUAUUAAAGUUGUUGCAGUUAAAAAGCUCGUAGUUGAAUUUCGGGAUCGAAUUGUUGGUCGUGCCUCGGUACGCACUGGCAUUAUCGGUUCCUACCUUCUGAAGAACCGCGAUGUCAUUAAUUUGGUGUCGUGGGGAAUCAGGACUGUUACUUUGAAAAAAUUAGAGUGUUUAAAGCAGGCUUACGCUUGAAUACAUUAGCAUGGAAUAAUGAAAUAGGACGUUUGAUUCUAUUUUGUUGGCUUCUAGGAUCGACGUAAUGAUUAAUAGGGAUAGUUGGGGGCAUUAGUAUUCAAUUGUCAGAGGUGAAAUUCUUGGAUUUAUUGAAGACUAACUACUGCGAAAGCAUUUGCCAAGGAUGUUUUCAUUAAUCAAGAACGAAAGUUAGGGGAUCGAAGACGAUCAGAUACCGUCGUAGUCUUAACCAUAAACUAUGCCGACUAGGGAUCGGAUGAUGUUAAUUUUAUAAUGACUCAUUCGGCGCCUUACAGGAAAC
This 548-nucleotide ribosomal RNA is filed under the name uncultured Glomeromycotina. RNAcentral describes it as "SSU rRNA". It matches the Rfam family "Eukaryotic small subunit ribosomal RNA", at positions 548 to 1098 of the family's 1831-position model. Lineage: Eukaryota; Fungi; Glomeromycota. The record is from RNAcentral.